Non-coding RNA from Oryza sativa Japonica Group (Japanese rice), 74 nucleotides. Lineage: Eukaryota; Viridiplantae; Streptophyta; Magnoliopsida; Poales; Poaceae. The record is from Rfam.
GAAAGCCGUAUUCGAUGAAAGUUGUAUGUACGGCUUGGAGGGAGAUUUUUCCUAUCUUUCGAGAUCCACCCUAC